GGCCCCUACCAUGGACUCCAUGAAGUAGAUAAUAUAUAUCAUACUCAGUUGCUCUCCUCCAAUUAGUUUGAUGUUGAAAUCGGGAUUUUCAAGCAGCUUUUCGUCUUUUCCAUCAUCAUUGGGUAUUCCCCACUUUAAUGCCUUGGAUGAAAUUUGGGAGAAUUUUGGCCCACUUUGAAUCCAAUUUAUCUUUUUGCUUUGUGAAUGUAUAC
Molecule: long non-coding RNA, 212 nt
Filed under: Elaeis guineensis (African oil palm)
Lineage: Eukaryota; Viridiplantae; Streptophyta; Magnoliopsida; Arecales; Arecaceae
Description: long non-coding RNA (EGUI_LNC004977)
Source: RNAcentral